ACUUUGAAGAGAGAGUUCAAGAGUACGUGAAACCGUUCAGGGGUAAACCUGAGAAACCCAAAAGAUCGAAUGGGGAGAUUCAUCGACGACGAAGCUGGCUCCCGUUGGCGUGCGAUUCCCCCGUUGGGACCUCGGUUCCAGAACGCGGGGUACACCCCUUCGGCGAAUAACCGGCGACGUAGUCGUGCACUUCUCCCUUGGUAGAACGUCGCGACCCGUUGUGUGUCGGUCUACGGCCUGGGCUAUUUGCCUGUCGCGGUGGCAUUCGUUCGCUCGCGGCAGAGGCUCGGUCGCCCGGCCGGCUGCACGACGGUACUCCGACGGUAUCGGGCCGCAACCAAUCCAUUCUCGAAUGGUAUAUGCGUCCAGGCCCGUCGCAAGCUCGGACAGCAAGCCCGGAGCGUGUGGACGCAGCGCCCUCCCCGGGUCUGGCCAGCUGUUAGCAGACGGUGUCCUCGGACCGGCCAAGCUUCGAAUUACCGGUCAGCGACGCUAUUGCUUUGGGUACUCUCAGGACCCGUCUUGAAACACGGACCAAGGAGUCUAACAUGUGCGCGAGUCGUUGGGACAUUGAAACCUAAAGGCGAAAUGAAAGUGAAAGUCGUCGUAAGCGUCGACCAAGGGAGGAUGGGCCGCGUCACGUCGCGGCCUCGCACUCCCGGGGCGUCUCGUUCUNGUUGAGAAGAGGCGCACCCAGAG
Molecule: ribosomal RNA, 699 nt
Filed under: Colletes zygophyllum
Lineage: Eukaryota; Metazoa; Arthropoda; Insecta; Hymenoptera; Colletidae
Description: eukaryotic LSU rRNA
Rfam family: Eukaryotic large subunit ribosomal RNA
Source: RNAcentral